This 622-nucleotide long non-coding RNA is filed under the name Physcomitrium patens. RNAcentral describes it as "long non-coding RNA (PPAT_LNC011700)". Lineage: Eukaryota; Viridiplantae; Streptophyta; Bryopsida; Funariales; Funariaceae. The record is from RNAcentral.
AUAUAUAUAUAUAUAUAUACUAAAAUAUAAAUCUCAAUAAAAAAUUAAAAUAAAAAUCUCAAUUAAAUCAUAAUCAAAACCUAAUCAAAUCUUGAUAAAAUCCUAAUCAAACCUUAAAUAAGCUCUAAUCAAAUCCUAGACAAAGUCUAAAAAAAUCUUAAUCAAACCUUCAUCAAAUUCAAAUCAAAUCCUAAAAAAAUCUUAAUCAAACCUUCAUCAAAUUCCUAUCAAAUCUUAAACAAAUCCAAACCAUAUCCUAAUCAAAUCCUAAAUAAAUCCUAGAAAAAUCCUAAAUAAAUUCUAGUCAAAUCCUAAACAUAUCCUAAAUAAGUCCUAUUAAAAUCUAAGUAAAAUUCUAAUGAAAUCCUAAUCAAAUCCUAAUCAAAUUUUAAUGAAAUCUUAGUCAAAUUCUAAUCAAAUACUAAUCAAAUCCUUAAUAAAUUCUAAUAAAAUCCUAGUCAAAUCUUAGAUAAAUCUUAAAUAAGCUUUUACCAAAUCUUGAAAAAAUCUUAAUCAAACUCUAAUCAAAUCCUAAUAAAAUCUUAAACAAAUCCUAACCAAAUCUUAAAUAAAUCAUAAUAAAAUCUUAGACAAAGCUUAAAUAUAUCCUAAUCAAAUCUUA